CAACAAUUGUCUACUCCUAUGGCUUUUAGAUCAGCGGUAAGUUUCCAUCUACUUCUAUUGUUAUAUAUAACUUGGUGUGAUGAAUGUUGCUCUUUCGCUCAUUAUUUAUCGUGGUGCUAAUUAAAUUAAGAUAAAAGGGUACUUUUUCUAUGUUGCAGACUUACCUGAAAUCCAUGGUUAGUCACUUAAAGGGAAGUUCCUCAGUAAAUUAUGCAACAGCAGCCACUUCAAAAUUUAAGGCAGCUUCACCCGUCCAACUUAAAGGGAUUCAUGUGCCCAAGUAAGAUUAUUGUCCUCCAUAAUCUACUUCUUUUACGUAGCUUGAUAAAGGAUGUUAUGGUUUAUGUAUGCCACUGGCAACAAUGAAGUCAGAAAUUUCGCAAAAAGUGUUCAAAGUAUAAUAUACACACAUAAAAAAUUAUUUUUUACCUCUAAUUUAAUUCACGCAAUGCAAUAAAGGAUCAAAUUACCCCUAAAGGAUAAAUUUUAAGAUUGUCACAGUCAAAAUUCAACCUUUGAGCAACAACGUCAAGUUGACGAACCUGAUAUAUUUAUUUCAGAUUAUCCAUAAUCUAGCUCGGCGUUUGAUGGGCUGCUUAAUUCGGCGUUAUCUUCAAGACAACAAAAUUUAAAUAACCAAGCAAAGCUUGGUGUUCUCCUUGUAUUUGACCAAUGUACAGUCGUCGCUGGCUUUGGCUUAAGCUCAAAGUCUCAUGAAUAAUAUUUUCUUUUUCGUCCCAUUUUACGUAAGAAAGAAAGAUUUUUAAAAUUU
Molecule: long non-coding RNA, 772 nt
Filed under: Nicotiana benthamiana
Lineage: Eukaryota; Viridiplantae; Streptophyta; Magnoliopsida; Solanales; Solanaceae
Description: long non-coding RNA (NBEN_LNC014612)
Source: RNAcentral